Molecule: ribosomal RNA, 908 nt
Filed under: uncultured bacterium
Lineage: Bacteria
Also listed under: 1 other name
Description: bacterial SSU rRNA
Rfam family: Bacterial small subunit ribosomal RNA
Source: RNAcentral
UCUGGCUCAGGAUGAACGCUAGCUACAGGCUUAACACAUGCAAGUCGAGGGGAAACGAUAGAGAAAGCUUGCUUUUUCUAGGCGUCGACCGGCGCACGGGUGAGUAACGCGUAUCCAACCUGCCCAUCACUUGGGGAUAACCUUGCGAAAGUAAGACUAAUACCCAAUGAGGUCUCUAGAAGACAUCUGAAAGAGAUUAAAGAUUUAUCGGUGAUGGAUGGGGAUGCGUCUGAUUAGCUUGUUGGCGGGGUAACGGCCCACCAAGGCGACGAUCAGUAGGGGUUCUGAGAGGAAGGUCCCCCACAUUGGAACUGAGACACGGUCCAAACUCCUACGGGAGGCAGCAGUGAGGAAUAUUGGUCAAUGGACGAGAGUCUGAACCAGCCAAGUAGCGUGCAGGAAGACGGCCCUAUGGGUUGUAAACUGCUUUUAUAAGGGAAUAAAGUGAGUCUCGUGAGACUUUUUGCAUGUACCUUAUGAAUAAGGACCGGCUAAUUCCGUGCCAGCAGCCGCGGUAAUACGGAAGGUCCGGGCGUUAUCCGGAUUUAUUGGGUUUAAAGGGAGCGUAGGCCGGAGAUUAAGCGUGUUGUGAAAUGUAGACGCUCAACGUCUGCACUGCAGCGCGAACUGGUUUCCUUGAGUACGCACAAAGUGGGCGGAAUUCGUGGUGUAGCGGUGAAAUGCUUAGAUAUCACGAAGAACUCCGAUUGCGAAGGCAGCUCACUGGAGCGCAACUGACGCUGAAGCUCGAAAGUGCGGGUAUCGAACAGGAUUAGAUACCCUGGUAGUCCGCACGGUAAACGAUGGAUGCCCGCUGUUGGUCUGAAUAGGUCAGCGGCCAAGCGAAAGCAUUAAGCAUCCCACCUGGGGAGUACGCCGGCAACGGUGCAACUCAAAGGAAUUGACGG